RNA transcript from Symsagittifera roscoffensis, 1777 nucleotides. RefSeq lists it as uncharacterized. NCBI's taxonomy places the organism in Eukaryota, Metazoa, Xenacoelomorpha, Acoela, Convolutidae. The record is from RefSeq and is a predicted model, not a curated record. The transcript is spliced from 5 exons.
CAAGAAUAAAAAUUCUAUCUUGAAACCAGAUACGCAUUCAAAUUACAACACUUCUAAUUUCUCAUGCAUUUAUGCUGUUGCUUUUUUGCAGAGUAGCUUAGAUAUUAUUUCUUCUGAUAUUUUGUGUUUGGAGAGACACUUAUCAACAAGCUAACAAUAUGGCAGAAUUUGAGAAAACGCAACUCUUUGAAAUCUAUUCAGAGCUGGUAGAGACUGAGUCAGUAUUUGCAUUUUACCAUUGCACUGAGGGGGAGGCAGAUAUGCUAGAGACGACCGGGAAAAUAAAGUGCUCAAGUCUGAUGGGUGAAAAAAACGACACUUAUGGAAUUACCUUCAUUGUCAAAAAGAAGAAUAGUUUUCAAGAUGUCAUGGACAAAGAUUUUGACACUUUCAUCAAACUUCCCAGAAAAUGGGUAGAGGACCAAGAUCUCAGCAAUUUUUGGACUAUUACUCAUAUAGCGAUCGAUGGUGAUGAUGAAACGACACAACUAACAAUUGAGGGAAAGAAACAGUUUUUGGACAUUUCAGAUGCAGACUUUGUGGCUCGGGUUGAGGUCCCAAACCUGCAUAUUCAUUUUGGUGGACUUCAGUUGUUCUAGAAUGAUUACCAGACUAAUACCGAAGGAAAGUUUUUGGGUGCCUCAAAGAUUGCUCUCAGAUCAUCGACUUAAAGAAGUUGUCAAUGAAAAUUUUCGAAACAGUAAUGGGAAGAAAUGGUUUCAUGUUUUUGACUAAAAUUGGCUACAAAAAUGUUUUUAGAAGAACAUUAUUUCAUAUUAAACCGUAAAUUUGUUCUGUUUGGAACAUGAAAGAAACUUUGAAACAGAAUUAUUUUUUUAUAAAGUUUGAGCUUUCUUUACAGCAAACUUCUAGAACGCUUGCAGUAAGUUGGGUUUUUUUCGAAGGAGUUUGUAUAGUUUUUUCUAUGCUCAUGGACGAGUUAAGAAAAAAUAGGUAUCAGGACUCGCUUGUCCUUAGGAUUUGGCCUAGUUACGGCAAAAAAAGGGUAUGGUUGAUUACUCAAAUCAGGGUCCUAUUUUUUUGCAAAAAAAAAACUUCAAUGUUUAAACGACCUUUGAUUCCAAAAAAAUGGAUCGUUCCGUGAUCAUUCUAGGCUAGUUGCACAGGCACAGUAUGAGCUUGCCUAAAUUAGUUGCUCUCAAGUAACCUCUGUCGCUUUUGUUAUUUCGUUUUAGUUUUUUGCCAGUCCAAGCUAUUACUUCCACUACACGACAAAAGAAAAUGUGCAGAAGAUAAUAUCCUCUGGGUUUAUUAAAUCUGGUAGCAACCACAAGAAAUUUUCAGGUGUGUACAAGCCGUGUGUUUGCAUCACUGAUGCUGAUUUUGAAGCCGAUACUAAAUACAUCACGAACCAGUGCUUUGGCAAUGUAGAGAAUGAAAAAAAAGAAGAAAAGUUAGUUGCAUAUAUCCAGUUGCCGAAAAAAUCAGUUCAUGAGUACGCAAUUCAAAACGGAUUUGAAAUAUUGCGAUAUAAGUUUCGGCCACAGCGCAGGUCAUUUGUUGUGACUACAGGAGCCGAACCGCUUUACUUGGACAAAAUUGAGGACUGGGGUUUCGGAUAUCGAAACUUGUAAACUGUGUUUUGAGCUGCAACAAGAAAUGAUCACCAUGAAACUUUGAAACUCAUCGAAACUCAUCAUAAAAGACAGUAAUUACAAAAAUAUUUUUGUAAAAGUUUCAUUUAAUUGCAAUGUUUCUGUGUGUUACUGGUCAAUUAGGUUGAACUUAGUUACAAAGGAAUCGAUUAAUUUGUUAA